Molecule: transfer RNA, 68 nt
Filed under: Myosotella myosotis (mouse ear snail)
Lineage: Eukaryota; Metazoa; Mollusca; Gastropoda; Ellobiida; Ellobiidae
Description: tRNA-Asp
Source: RNAcentral
UUUUGACUAGUUUAAGAAAAAUACUAGCUUGUCAAGUUGGAGUUUAAGGGCAGAUGCUUAGUCGAGUU